RNAcentral lists this small RNA (273 nucleotides) under human gut metagenome. RNAcentral's name for it is "5' ureB small RNA". The record is from RNAcentral.
GAAAUGUAUGUGCACAUCUAUUCCUCCCGGAGUGACUAUGAGCCCCUCCGCACAUACUUCUUCCGUUCCCACGCCUACAACCAGGCCGGGUGUUAUAUCCAUGGUGUCCGGAUUUCCCGAUUUGCCGAUUCCUACGAUUUUGCCGUCCUUGAUGCCUAUAUCGCCUUUGACUAUGCCUAUUACGGGGUCCAUAAUCGUGGCGCAGGUUACCACAACAUCCAGUACGUCCGUCCCUUCAACGGGAUCUCCGGCCUUCUGCCCCAUGCCGUCUCU